RNAcentral lists this ribosomal RNA (438 nucleotides) under uncultured bacterium. Its description in RNAcentral is "partial 16S ribosomal RNA". It matches the Rfam family "Bacterial small subunit ribosomal RNA", at positions 29 to 507 of the family's 1533-position model. The record is from RNAcentral.
AACGAACGCUGGCGGCAUGCCUAACACAUGCAAGUCGAACGAGACCUUCGGGUCUAGUGGCGCACGGGUGAGUAACGCGUGGGAACCUGCCCUUAGGUUCGGAAUAACUCCCCGAAAGGGGUGCUAAUACCGGAUAAUGUCUUCGGACCAAAGCUUUAUCGCCUUUGGAUGGGCCCGGGUUGGAUUAGCUAGUUGGUAGGGUAAAAGCCUACCAAGGCGACGAUCCAUAGCUGGUCUGAGAGGAUGAUCGGCCACACUGGGACUGAGACGAGGCCCAGACGAGAACGUGAGGGAGCGGAGGGGAGGAUAGCAUGAUGGGAGGACGGAUGAUGCAGCGAAGCAGGGUGAGGGAAGACGGCAUUCGGGUUGUGAACCAAAGUCAGCAGGGACGAAGCGUAAGUGACGGUACCUGCAGAAGAAGCUCCGGCCAACUACGUG